AGUUGUACUGUUUUCUGGUGCGGAGGACCGGGAAUAAAUUCAAUGCAGUGAUACUGAAGAGGCUUUUCAUGAGCAAGAUCAACAAGCCACCUCUAUCUCCCUCCAAGUUGAUUCGUUACAUGGAGGGCAAGGAGGGUAAGAUUGCUGUGGUUGUUGGGACCGUGACCAAUGACAUUAGGGUGUAUGAGGUCCCAA
This is a long non-coding RNA of Quercus robur (English oak), 195 nucleotides long. RefSeq lists it as uncharacterized. The record is from RefSeq and is a predicted model, not a curated record. NCBI's taxonomy places the organism in Eukaryota, Viridiplantae, Streptophyta, Magnoliopsida, Fagales, Fagaceae. The transcript has 2 exons.